Molecule: non-coding RNA, 78 nt
Organism: Podarcis lilfordi (Lilford's wall lizard)
Lineage: Eukaryota; Metazoa; Chordata; Lepidosauria; Squamata; Lacertidae
Source: the annotation of a GenBank genome assembly
UCUCUCACAGCUCAGUCGGCAGAGCGCGGGGCUCUUAAUCUCAGGGUUGUGUGGGUUCGAGACCCGCAUUGGGCAGAA